This 924-nucleotide ribosomal RNA is filed under the name uncultured Actinomycetes bacterium. Its description in RNAcentral is "bacterial SSU rRNA". It matches the Rfam family "Bacterial small subunit ribosomal RNA", at positions 8 to 944 of the family's 1533-position model. The record is from RNAcentral. Lineage: Bacteria; Bacillati; Actinomycetota; Actinomycetes.
AGAGUUUGAUCCUGGCUCAGGACGAACGCUGGCGGCGUGCUUAACACAUGCAAGUCGAACGGGACUGCAUCGCUCUUCGGGGUGGUGUGGUUUAGUGGCGAACGGGUGAGUAACACGUGACUAACCUGCCCCAGAGACGGGGAUAACAGCGGGAAACCGCUGCUAAUACCGGAUGUCCUCGCACUAUCGCAUGGUGGUGUGUGGAAAUGCUUUUGCGCUCUGGGUGGGGGUCGCGGGCUAUCAGCUUGUUGGUGGGGUAAUGGCUUACCAAGGCUUCGACGGCUCGCUGGUCUGAGAGGACGACCAGCCACACUGGGACUGAGACACGGCCCAGACUCCUGCGGGAGGCAGCAGUGGGGAAUCUUGCGCAAUGGGCGAAAGCCUGACGCAGCAACGCCGCGUGGGGGAUGAAGGCUUUCGGGUUGUAAACCCCUUUCAGCAGGGACGAUUGUGACGGUACCUGCAGAAGAAGCCCCGGCCAAAUACGUGCCAGCAGCCGCGGUAAUACGUAUGGGGCGAGCGUUGUCCGGAUUUAUUGGGCGUAAAGAGCUCGUAGGCGGCUUGGUAAGUCGGGUGUGAAAGCUCCAAGCUCAACUUGGAGAGGCCACUCGAUACUGUCAUGGCUUGAGUCCGGUAGGGGACCACGGAAUUCUUGGUGUAGCGGUGAAAUGCGCAGAUAUCAGGAGGAACACCAGUGGCGAAGGCGGUGGUCUGGGCCGGAACUGACGCUGAGGAGCGAAAGCGUGGGUAGCAAACAGGAUUAGAUACCCUGGUAGUCCACGCCGUAAACGUUGGGCACUAGGUGUGGGGCCUUAUUCAACGGGUUCCGUGCCGUAGCUAACGCAUUAAGUGCCCGCCUGGGGAGUACGGCCGCAGGCUAAACUCAAGGAUUGACGGGGGCCCGCACAGCGGCGGAGCAUGUUG